CUCUCCCUGCCUCCAUGCUUGCAAAGUUCUCAAAAUGGCUCAACUGAGGCCUAUUUGUGGUUGGCUGAUUGGUGAUCAGUUUUGUAAGUAAGUGUUUUCAGGUGUGUGUCUAAGUGUUUUCAAUCACCCAAUGUGUUUUGUAUUUUGAAUAGAUGUGUUUUCCCAAUGGUACCCAUGAGAUUUCAUUUAUGAACGAAGUGUCUUAUGUAUGAAAUAGUGUGUAGUGUGCAGGAGCAAGUGUGUUGCAGAAUUGCAACUGAAGUGCAAAGCAGCGCUUUUGUUUAAGUGGUGAGUGUGUGUCCAGGCCGUGUGCC
Long non-coding RNA from Sinocyclocheilus anshuiensis, 314 nucleotides. RefSeq lists it as uncharacterized. The record is from RefSeq and is a predicted model, not a curated record. The transcript is spliced from 4 exons. Lineage: Eukaryota; Metazoa; Chordata; Actinopteri; Cypriniformes; Cyprinidae.